Molecule: ribosomal RNA, 253 nt
Filed under: uncultured bacterium
Lineage: Bacteria
Description: partial 16S ribosomal RNA
Rfam family: Bacterial small subunit ribosomal RNA
Source: RNAcentral
UACGUAGGGGGCUAGCGUUGUCCGGAUUUAUUGGGCGUAAAGAGCGUGUAGGCGGCCAGAUAGGUCUGCUGUGAAAACUCGAGGCUCAACCUCGAGAUGUCGGCGGAAACCAUUUGGCUAGAGUCCGGAAGAGGAAAGUGGAAUUCCUGGUGUAGCGGUGAAAUGCGCAGAUAUCAGGAAGAACACCAGUGGCGAAGGCGGCUUCCUGGCCCGAUACUGACGCUGAGGCACGAAAGCGUGGGGAGCAAACAGG